GAUGAACGCUGGCGGCGUGCCUAACACAUGCAAGUCGAACGGAGUUACGAGAGCUUGCUUUUGUAACUUAGUGGCGGACGGGUGAGUAAUGUAUGAGCAACCUGCCUUUCAGAGGGGGACAACAGUUGGAAACGACUGCUAAUACCGCAUAAUGUGCGUUGAGGGCAUCCUCGAUGUACCAAAGGAGCAAUCCGCUGAAAGAUGGGCUCAUAUCUGAUUAGUUAGUUGGCAGGGUAACGGCCUACCAAGACUGCGAUCAGUAGCCGGACUGAGAGGUUGAACGGCCACAUUGGGACUGAGAUACGGCCCAGACUCCUACGGGAGGCAGCAGUGGGGAAUAUUGGGCAAUGGGCGAAAGCCUGACCCAGCAACGCCGCGUGAAGGAAGAAGGUCUUCGGAUUGUAAACUUCUUUUAUGAGGGACGAAGGACGUGACGGUACCUCAUGAAUAAGCCACGGCUAACUACGUGCCAGCAGCCGCGGUAAUACGUAGGUGGCGAGCGUUAUCCGGAUUUACUGGGUGUAAAGGGCGCGUAGGCGGGGGCGCAAGUCAGGUGUGAAAUCUAUGGGCUUAACCCAUAAACUGCACUUGAAACUGCAUCUCUUGAGUGCUGGAGAGGCAGAUGGAAUUCCUUGUGUAGCGGUGAAAUGCGUAGAUAUAAGGAAGAACACCAGUGGCGAAAGCGAUCUACUGGACAGUAACUGACGCUGAGGCGCGAAAGCGUGGGG
Molecule: ribosomal RNA, 728 nt
Filed under: uncultured bacterium
Lineage: Bacteria
Description: bacterial SSU rRNA
Rfam family: Bacterial small subunit ribosomal RNA
Source: RNAcentral